This 77-nucleotide transfer RNA is filed under the name Rickettsiales bacterium. Its description in RNAcentral is "tRNA-His". It matches the Rfam family "tRNA". Rfam says of the family: Transfer RNA (tRNA) molecules are approximately 80 nucleotides in length. Their secondary structure includes four short double-helical elements and three loops (D, anti-codon, and T loops). The record is from RNAcentral. Lineage: Bacteria; Pseudomonadati; Pseudomonadota; Alphaproteobacteria; Rickettsiales.
GUGUUUGUAGCUCAGUUGGUUAGAGCGCCGCUCUGUGGAAGCGGAGGUCGUGAGUUCAAGUCUCAUCUGACACCCCA